Molecule: unclassified non-coding RNA, 279 nt
Filed under: Xenomycosphaerella sp.
Lineage: Eukaryota; Fungi; Ascomycota; Dothideomycetes; Mycosphaerellales; Mycosphaerellaceae
Description: partial contains 5.8S ribosomal RNA, internal transcribed spacer 2, and large subunit ribosomal RNA
Rfam family: 5.8S ribosomal RNA (bases 1-71)
Source: RNAcentral
GUGAGUCAUCGAAUCUUUGAACGCACAUUGCGCCCCGUGGUAUUCCGCGGGGCAUGCCUGUUCGAGCGUCAUUUCACCACUCCAGCCUCGCUGGGUAUUGGGCGCCGCGGUCCCCCGCGCGCCUCAAAGUGCUCCGGCCGAGCCGUCCGUCUCACCGCGUCGUGAUUUCCAAUCUCGCGAUUGAGCCCGGACGGCCGCGGCCGUUAAACUCCUUAUACAGGUUGACCUCGGAUCAGGUAGGGAUACCCGCUGAACUUAAGCAUAUCAAUAAGCGGAGGA